RNAcentral lists this ribosomal RNA (393 nucleotides) under uncultured rumen bacterium clone 30. Its description in RNAcentral is "bacterial SSU rRNA". It matches the Rfam family "Bacterial small subunit ribosomal RNA", at positions 19 to 363 of the family's 1533-position model. The record is from RNAcentral.
UUGGCUCAGGAUGAACGCUGGCGGCGUGCCUAAUACAUGCAAGUCGAGCGGCAGCAUGGGCUUCACCGUUUCCUUGACACACCUAGCGUUUUGAUCGUAGGUUGUGCAAAUCUCGAGGGAACAGUGAAGCCUGAUGGCGAGCGGCGGACGGCUGAGUAACGCGUGGGAACGGACCCCAAACUGAGGGAUAACUACUCGAAAGAGUGGCUAAUACCGCAUGUGAUCUUCGGAUUAAAGUCUUCGGACGGUUUGGGACUGGCCUGCGUACGAUUAGAUAGUUGGUAGGGUAAUGGCCUACCAAGUCGACGAUCGUUAGAUGGUUUGAGAAGAUGAUCAUCCAGACUGGGACUGAGACACGGCCCAGACUCCUACGGGAGGCAGCAGUGGGGAAUA